Molecule: transfer RNA, 85 nt
Filed under: Actinomycetota bacterium
Lineage: Bacteria; Bacillati; Actinomycetota
Description: Actinobacteria bacterium tRNA-Leu
Rfam family: tRNA
About the family: Transfer RNA (tRNA) molecules are approximately 80 nucleotides in length. Their secondary structure includes four short double-helical elements and three loops (D, anti-codon, and T loops).
Source: RNAcentral
GGGCGAGUGGCGAAAUCUGGCAGACGCGCAGGAUUCAGGUUCCUGUGUCCGCAAGGACGUGGGGGUUCAAGUCCCCCCUCGCCCA